GCCCAGACUCCUACGGGAGGCAGCAGUGGGGAAUAUUGCACAAUGGGGGAAACCCUGAUGCAGCGACGCCGCGUGAGUGAAGAAGUAAUUCGUUAUGUAAAGCUCUAUCAGCAGGGAAGAAAAUGACGGUACCUGAGUAAGAAGCCCCGGCUAACUACGUGCCAGCAGCCGCGGUAAUACGUAGGGGGCAAGCGUUAUCCGGAAUUACUGGGUGUAAAGGGAGCGUAGACGGUGAUGCAAGUCUGGAGUGAAAGGCGGGGGCCCAACCCCCGGACUGCUCUGGAAACUGUAUGACUUGAGUGCAGGAGAGGUAAGCGGAAUUCCUGGUGUAGCGGUGAAAUGCGUAGAUAUCAGGAGGAACACCGGUGGCGAAGGCGGCCUGCUGGACUGCAACUGACGUUGAGGCCCGAAAGCGUGGGGAGCAAACAGGAUUAGAUACCCUUGUAA
This 447-nucleotide ribosomal RNA is filed under the name uncultured bacterium. RNAcentral's name for it is "bacterial SSU rRNA". It matches the Rfam family "Bacterial small subunit ribosomal RNA", at positions 329 to 793 of the family's 1533-position model. The record is from RNAcentral.